ACGUAGGGCGCAAGCGUUGUCCGGAAUUAUUGGGCGUAAAGAGCUCGUAGGCGGCUGGUCGCGUCUGUCGUGAAAACUUCCGGCUCAACCGGGGGCUUGCGGUGGGUACGGGCCGGCUAGAGUGCGGUAGGGGUAACUGGAACUCCUGGUGUAGCGGUGGAAUGCGCAGAUAUCAGGAAGAACACCGAUGGCGAAGGCAGGUUACUGGGCCGUUACUGACGCUGAGGAGCGAAAGCGUGGGGAGCGAACAG
This 251-nucleotide ribosomal RNA is filed under the name uncultured bacterium. RNAcentral's name for it is "partial 16S ribosomal RNA". It matches the Rfam family "Bacterial small subunit ribosomal RNA", at positions 525 to 775 of the family's 1533-position model. The record is from RNAcentral.